This is a long non-coding RNA of Bombus terrestris (buff-tailed bumblebee), 1121 nucleotides long. RefSeq lists it as uncharacterized. The record is from RefSeq and is a predicted model, not a curated record. Lineage: Eukaryota; Metazoa; Arthropoda; Insecta; Hymenoptera; Apidae. The transcript is spliced from 2 exons.
UCGUGUAGAUAUACACAAGCCACGAUUCAUGUGUGCGAGCCGUAGCGAGAAGCGGAGAUUGGCACGCGCGACAUAACCUAUUCAAGAAAUGAUCGCGUUUCUUUCUCAAAUCGAAGAAAAACGAUCACACUUCAAGCCGACUCUCACUUCCGCAACAGUACCCAACACGAAGAUUCCAGGGGUGACUAACGAGUACCUAGUAGUCAACAGAUCUACUUGAUCGUAGCCGCUACCGAUUACAAAAUACAAAUUACAAAUUACGAAUUACAGAUUAUAAAUUACGAAUUACAAAUUACAAAUCACAAAUUACAAAUUACAUAUUACGAAUUACGGAUUACGGGAGAAGUAAAAACGAGCGUAUACAAACUAUUACAGUAAGAAGAAAGCACACACAAAAUAGAGACGCGCACUUACGAAAGCGAAGAAACGGACGUGAGACGAGAGCUCGAUAGAAAAGUUUCGAUACGAGAUGAGAGACAAAAUCGAUCUUGCGGAUCGAUUGGAAAUCACGCGCAACGCGCAACGCACCGAGCACGGUAGUACGUCUAUCCCAAUCACGUCUCGGCUCUCUGCAUAUAAAAAAAGAACGGAGAAGAAACACGGGGAAGAAAGAUGAAAAGGGUGUGACGUUGCUAGUCUGGUUUGGUGGGACGAGGAUGAGACGCGUAUGCGUGACGUUCUUAUCUCACGUUUAAACGAGUGAGACGGUAAACACAGGGGAAACUGGAAGGAAAGAGAUAGGAAAGAGAGAUGUUACCACGGGGUUCUUCGCGUCCUACCACCUUCGACACUGACGAGAGAGAGCCGAGUUCGCCCCGUGGCCUGGCUUCUUGGGAGGAAAACACGCGUUCUCGUGAUCGACGCCUUGUGUGUAUGUACGCGAGGGUGGUCAAAUGUCUACAUGUGUACCGGGACGAAAUUCAAAACCUGUUACGUGACGCCGCUCAGAAGAUAAUAACGUGGCCAAGCCGAACUUGUUCGUUCGAAGAUUCGAAAUUCUCAUCAUCUAUUUCCGCUUGGAUCGCAUUCUACCACGAGAAGAAAAUCAUUCUCGAUCUGUUUUUCGCUGUUAUUUUCGAUCAUUCGAAUGUCGCGCAAAAACGAAUCUCUCACUGUCUCAA